This 151-nucleotide ribosomal RNA is filed under the name uncultured Acinetobacter sp. Its description in RNAcentral is "partial 16S ribosomal RNA". It matches the Rfam family "Bacterial small subunit ribosomal RNA", at positions 497 to 649 of the family's 1533-position model. Lineage: Bacteria; Pseudomonadati; Pseudomonadota; Gammaproteobacteria; Moraxellales; Moraxellaceae. The record is from RNAcentral.
CUAACUCUGUGCCGCAGCCGCGGUAAUACAGAGGGUGCGAGCGUUAUCGGAUUUACUGGGCGUAAAGCGUGCGUAGGCGGCUGAUUAAGUCCGAUGUGAAAUCCCUGAGCUUAACUUAGGAAUUGCAUUCGAUACUGGUCAGCUAGAGUAU